GAAGAGAAGAAGUGCAGCCGGACACCUGCCGCCUUGUCAGGCCUGUGCCGCCGCUUCCGCAGCCCGAAAUCAUCCGGCCCUCCAAGGCAACGCUCUGGUGCUCCAGGUGAAGGCUGAAGAACGAUAUGUGCGGUGGGCUCGGGCAGAGGCGGGUCCCCGCCCUUUCUAUUCGUGUGAACUGUGGUGUGUGUGACCAGCACCCAUCCCUUUACUGUGGGGGUGGGCACCCCGGCGAGCCGCAAAACAGCAGGCGGACUCCCCUGCUGGAGAGAAGCCGGGGAAAUGCAAUGGAGGGCUUGCUAAUUGAAGUUGAAGCAUCAGAUGUCUUGAAAGCACUCAAACUCAUCAGGCAUAGAAUACAGUGUUCAGGAAAUUAUAGCAUUACUACAUUCUGGAAUGCCUGACAAGAAUAAAUUCAGGAAGGCUUGGAGGAGAAAAGAAGUGGAAUUUGUCUCUUCACACUUUGAAUCUGGCCUAGCACCUGAGCCCUGCUUUGAUGAAAAGAAUGCAGUAGGAGCAGCACUGUGGACCUCAUGAAGCUUCGCAGCUUCCACUUUUGUCCCUUUGGAACACUGCCCAAGACUGCCACUUGAAGAAUCCCAGUCUAGCCUGGUGGAGGAGGAGAGGGUAUUGGGACUACAUGAGCCAACCCAUCUGAGGCCUUUUAAAUUAGCCAGCUGACAGCUAGCAUCUACCGUCUACCAUUGGAGGGCAUCUUAAACCUUCCGGCCCCAGUCAAGCCACCAUAUUAUUGUAGCCACUGAGUGAGCCCAGGCAAGACCAGCAGAAAAUUUGUCACCCAGUUGAGUCCAGCCCAAAUUGUUGACCCACAGAAUCAUGAGCAAAAAUAAUGGCCAUUGUAAACCACUACAUUUUGGGGGUGGCUUAUUAUGCAGCAGAAACUAAAUCAUACAGGAGGUUAUCCCAGGAAGCACCAGUGAGGAAAUAAGAGAAGUAAG
Pongo pygmaeus (Bornean orangutan) is the source of this 959-nucleotide long non-coding RNA. RefSeq lists it as uncharacterized. The record is from RefSeq and is a predicted model, not a curated record. NCBI's taxonomy places the organism in Eukaryota, Metazoa, Chordata, Mammalia, Primates, Hominidae. The transcript is spliced from 4 exons.